Molecule: ribosomal RNA, 460 nt
Filed under: uncultured bacterium
Lineage: Bacteria
Description: partial 16S ribosomal RNA
Rfam family: Bacterial small subunit ribosomal RNA
Source: RNAcentral
CCUACGGGAGGCAGCAGUGAGGAAUAUUGGUCAAUGGACGCAAGUCUGAACCAGCCAUGCCGCGUGCAGGAAGAAGGCUCUAUGAGUUGUAAACUGCUUUUGUCCGAGGGCAAACACAGAUACGCGUAUCUGUCUGAAAGUAUCGUACGAAUAAGGAUCGGCUAACUCCGUGCCAGCAGCCGCGGUAAUACGGAGGAUUCAAGCGUUAUCCGGAUUUAUUGGGUUUAAAGGGUGCGCAGGCGGUCGGAUAAGUUAGCGGUGAAAUCCCGAGGCUCAACUUCGGAAUUGCCGCUGAUACUGGUCGGCUAGAGAUGAGUUGCGGUAGGCGGAAUGUAUGGUGUAGCGGUGAAAUGCUUAGAGAUCAUACAGAACACCGAUUGCGAAGGCAGCAUGCCAGGCUACUUCUGACGUUGAGGCACGAAAGCGUGGGUAGCGAACAGGAUUAGAUACCCCAGUAGUC